UACGUAGGGGGCUGGCGUUGUCCGGAAUCAUUGGGCGUAAAGCGCGUGUAGGUGGUCCGGUAAGUCCGCUGUGAAAGUCGGGGGCUCAACCCUCGGAUGCCGGUGGAUACUGUCGGGCUUGAGUACGGAAGAGGCGAGUGGAAUUCCUGGUGUAGCGGUGAAAUGCGCAGAUAUCAGGAGGAACACCAAUUGCGAAGGCAGCUCGCUGGGACGUUACUGACGCUGAGACGCGAAAGCGUGGGGAGCAAACAGG
This 253-nucleotide ribosomal RNA is filed under the name uncultured bacterium. Its description in RNAcentral is "partial 16S ribosomal RNA". It matches the Rfam family "Bacterial small subunit ribosomal RNA", at positions 524 to 776 of the family's 1533-position model. The record is from RNAcentral.